UGUGUGUGUGUGUGUGUGUAUAUAUAUAUAUAUGUGUGUGUGUGUGUGUAUAUAUAUAUAUAUAUAUAUACACACACACACACCAUA
Molecule: non-coding RNA, 87 nt
Organism: Podarcis lilfordi (Lilford's wall lizard)
Lineage: Eukaryota; Metazoa; Chordata; Lepidosauria; Squamata; Lacertidae
Source: the annotation of a GenBank genome assembly